GGCGCGGGCCGUGUGGCCACCCCAUCGUGGGUGCCGCCGCGCGACCGUGCCAUCCUCGUGGGGAAGGCCCGUGCCGUUCACUCGGUGCGGGUCGGACUCACGUCCUUUACUGUGAAAAAAUUAGAGUGUUUAAAGCAGGCUUCACGCUUGAAUACAUUAGCAUGGAAUAAUGAGAUAGGACUUCGGUGCUAUUUUGUUGGUUGCGUACCGAGGUA
RNAcentral lists this ribosomal RNA (215 nucleotides) under uncultured fungus. Its description in RNAcentral is "partial small subunit ribosomal RNA". The stretch from base 106 to 215 matches the Rfam family "Eukaryotic small subunit ribosomal RNA", at positions 751 to 864 of the family's 1831-position model. The record is from RNAcentral. Lineage: Eukaryota; Fungi.